Molecule: ribosomal RNA, 278 nt
Filed under: uncultured Oscillospiraceae bacterium
Lineage: Bacteria; Bacillati; Bacillota; Clostridia; Eubacteriales; Oscillospiraceae
Description: partial 16S ribosomal RNA
Rfam family: Bacterial small subunit ribosomal RNA
Source: RNAcentral
GCAGCCGCGGUAAUACGUAGGUGGCAAGCGUUAUCCGGAUUUACUGGGUGUAAAGGGCGCGUAGGCGGGGAUGCAAGUCAGAUGUGAAAUCUAUGGGCUCAACUCAUAAACUGCAUUUGAAACUGUAUCUCUUGAGUGCUGGAGAGGUAGAUGGAAUUCCUUGUGUAGCGGUGAAAUGCGUAGAUAUAAGGAAGAACACCAGUGGCGAAGGCGAUCUACUGGACAGUAACUGACGCUGAGGCGCGAGAGCGUGGGGAGCAAACAGGAUUAGAUACCCC